RNAcentral lists this ribosomal RNA (520 nucleotides) under uncultured Glomus. Its description in RNAcentral is "SSU rRNA". It matches the Rfam family "Eukaryotic small subunit ribosomal RNA", at positions 569 to 1092 of the family's 1831-position model. The record is from RNAcentral. Lineage: Eukaryota; Fungi; Glomeromycota; Glomeromycetes; Glomerales; Glomeraceae.
AGCAGCCGCGGUAAUUCCAGCUCCAAUAGCGUAUAUUAAAGUUGUUGCAGUUAAAAAGCUCGUAGUUGAAUUUCGGGAUCAAUAUGUCGGUCGUGCCUUGGUACGUACUGGUAUCAUUGGUCUCUCCUUUCUGACGAACCAUGAUGUCAUUAAUUUGGUGUUAUGGGAAGUUAGGACUGUUACUUUGAAAAAAUUAGAGUGUUUAAAGCAGGCUUUAGCUUGAAUACAUUAGCAUGGAAUAAUGAAAUAGGACGUUUGAUUCUAUUUUGUUGGUUUCUAGGAUCGACGUAAUGAUUAAUAGGGAUAGUUGGGGGCAUUAGUAUUCAAUUGUCAGAGGUGAAAUUCUUGGAUUUAUUGAAGACUAACUACUGCAAAAGCAUUUGCCAAGGAUGUUUUCAUUAAUCAAGAACGAAAGUUAGGGGAUCGAAGACGAUCAGAUACCGUCGUAGUCUUAACCAUAAACUAUGCCGACUAGGGAUCGGAUGAUGUUAAUUUUUAAUGACUCAUUCGGCGCCUUAAC